Molecule: ribosomal RNA, 468 nt
Filed under: uncultured bacterium
Lineage: Bacteria
Description: partial 16S ribosomal RNA
Rfam family: Bacterial small subunit ribosomal RNA
Source: RNAcentral
GACGAACGCUGGCGGCGUUCUUAACACAUGCAAGUCGAACGGAAAGGCCCUGCUUUUGUGGGGUGCUCGAGUGGCGAACGGGUGAGUAACACGUGAGUAACCUGCCCUUGACUUUGGGAUAACUUCAGGAAACUGGGGCUAAUACCGGAUAGGAGCUCCUGCUGCAUGGUGGGGGUUGGAAAGUUUCGGCGGUUGGGGAUGGACUCGCGGCUUAUCAGCUUGUUGGUGGGGUAGUGGCUUACCAAGGCUUUGACGGGUAGCCGGCCUGAGAGGGUGACCGGCCACAUUGGGACUGAGAUACGGCCCAGACUCCUACGGGAGGCAGCAGCGGGGAAUAUUGCACAAUGGGCGGAAGCCUGAUGCAGCAACGCCGCGUGCGGGAUGACGGCCUUCGGGUUGUAAACCGCUUUCGCCUGUGACGAAGCGUGAGUGACGGUAAUGGGUAAAGAAGCACCGGCUAACUACGUG